GUGACCUCAGAUCAGGUAGGAAUACCCGCU
This 30-nucleotide ribosomal RNA is filed under the name Sesquicillium buxi. RNAcentral describes it as "Clonostachys buxi partial 28S ribosomal RNA". Lineage: Eukaryota; Fungi; Ascomycota; Sordariomycetes; Hypocreales; Bionectriaceae. The record is from RNAcentral.